CACGCCCUAAACUAUGUCAACUGGUUGUCGGGGAAGCAAUUCCUUGGUAACGAAGCUAACGCGUGAAGUUGACCGCCUGGGGAGUACGGCCGCAAGGUUAAAACUCAAAGGAAUUGACGGGGACCCGCACAAGCGGUGGAUUAUGUGGAUUAAUUCGAUGCAACGCGAAAAACCUUACCUACCCUUGACAUGCCAGGAAGCUCGCAGAGAUGUGAGUGUGCCCGAAAGGGAACCUGGACACAGGUGCUGCAUGGCUGUCGUCAGCUCGUGUCGUGAGAUGUUGGGUUAAGUCCCGCAACGAGCGCAACCCUUGCCAUUAGUUGCUACAUUCAGUUGGGCACUCUAAUGGGACUGCCGGUGACAAACCGGAGGAAGGUGGGGAUGACGUCAAGUCCUCAUGGCCCUUAUGGGUAGGGCUUCACACGUAAUACAAUGGUAGGUACAAAGGGCAGCCAACCCGCGAGGGGGAGCUAAUCCCAGAAAGCCUAUCGUAGUCCGGAUUGUAGUCUGCAACUCGACUGCAUGAAGCCGGAAUCGCUAGUAAUCGUGGAUCAGCAUGUCACGGUGAAUACGUUCCCGGGUCUUGUACACACCGCCCGUCACACCAUGGGAGUGGGUUCCACCAGAAGUAGUUAGCCUAACCGCAAGGAGGGCGACUACCACGGUGAGAUUCAUGAC
This 678-nucleotide ribosomal RNA is filed under the name uncultured bacterium. RNAcentral describes it as "bacterial SSU rRNA". It matches the Rfam family "Bacterial small subunit ribosomal RNA", at positions 796 to 1475 of the family's 1533-position model. The record is from RNAcentral.